Molecule: non-coding RNA, 1934 nt
Organism: Sus scrofa (pig)
Lineage: Eukaryota; Metazoa; Chordata; Mammalia; Artiodactyla; Suidae
Source: RefSeq, a predicted model, not a curated record
GGGACCGAACCCGCAACCUCAUGGUUCCCAGUCGGAUUCGUUAACCACUGCGCCAUGACGGGAACUCCUAUAUAAGGUUUCUAACCUUUUCCCUCUUUGUGUGUCUGAAAAGGUUGAGGUUUAUUGAGAUAGAAAUAUUUGAAGACAUAUAAGAGAAAAUAACCACGGCAUAUACAAACACUUGCUGCAAGAGGAUGUCUGAGGUAUUUAUCCACUGCCUGGGCUACCUGUGUGCUGUCAUGUCUCUCCUGGUUAGAGCACUUGUGAGGCGGGGAAGAGGAGAGGACGGAGCUGCCCUAGCUGCCACAGGGCCAUCAGGACUGUACCUUCGGGGGAAGCUCCUCUGGCUCAGUGCCCUGUUCUGGGGGCUCUUGCUAGUGCCCACUCUUCUGGACUUUCAGGCUGAGACCCUCUUGUCUUUGAGGGCAACAAGGGUUCACUGAGAGGUUGAGGCUAGGCCAUCUGCCUGAGGAAGGGGAGAGAACCCAGGGACCAGCAAGACACAGGUGCCUUCCCUGUGCCCUUUGUGACCAAGCCCCUGAGCAAGACAUAUUGGCCAAAUGAACAUGAUGCCUUCAAGUGGCCCAGCUCCACUCAGCUGGUGUGCCCACACACUGUGAGGCUUGAAGGAGGUCACCCCCAGCACACGGGGCUGUGUCUGUGUGUGUGAGAGAGAGAGUGUGUGGAGGGCUGGGGGAGGGAAGGGAGAAGAUACAAUCCAGCGGAACUGCAGCUUCCCAGGCCAAGGUCUGUUUUGUGCUCAAGCCUUUUGACUGCCCUUUUCCUUCCUAGACAGGAUUGAAUGUUAGCCAUGACGUGGGUGCGGCCCGCGUGGCCUUCCACCACCACAGCCGUCAUCACAGUGGGUGGGGUUCUGCUGAACCCUGCUGGGUUUACUCCACUGAGAGGUGAGUCUUGUUCAAAGUCACCUUUCCUUUCCCACACAGGAGCAGUCUGGUCCACCUCAGGGGCCAAGAGAAGAGACACCACUUUCUCAAUGCUUCAUCCCCUGGGGCAGCUCGACCUCUGCAAAGCCCGUGGCCUGGCCCUGUCUGAGAGAUUCCAGAUGAAGAUUGCUGCCAGUGGCAAUGUAGAAGAAAAUCUUUCCAUCCUGGUAACUGGGGAGAAAUAACAUGAGGUAGGAGCACACCUUGUUUGUCACACACUCUAAGCAAUCUCCUGUCUACUUCGGAAGGAUAAAGCCAGUGGGAAGCAUAUGCAGAUAGAAAUAACCAUCCCCAAGCUGCUUCAUGAUUCCGUUUAGCCUCUUGCCCGUUCAGAGUCCCAAACACUUAUAUAAAAAAGCACCGACCCUCUUUAGAGUUCCCAGCUCCUGUAAGCUGUGGUCUCUGGAACAAUCGUCCCUUUUAGCAAUCCUUGCCAGACGAAUCUGUUGCUAAAUGAAAGACUCAGAAAAGAGAAACACUUUAUCCUGAGCGGGGAGAGUUUUCUGUUGGCUGACCCAAUGAAUUCCGUUCCUUCUCCACAGAAUACUGAAGCUGGAAGGAAACCUUUGAGAUGGCUGAGCACUCUCACUUUACAGAAGUGGAAACUGGGUUAGAGCACUUAACCUGUUUGCGUUAAUAAGAGAUGCAUGUCCUAACUCAGAUCGCCUGAAUCCUGGAGGCUUUGUACCAUGUCAAGGAUAAAGCAUCCAUGAGGAAAUUCAAGCCCAUCACUGAGGGACUGGUUCAGUAAAUCAUGGUGUGUCCAAAAGUAGACGAUUAUGCCGUCGUUCAAAGCACAGAAUGAGGUAGACCUACAUGCGCUGAUGUCAAAUGUCCACAUAUAAAGUGAAAAAAGAGGGACAAGUGGACACGAAGAAGUCGAACGUGGGUCUGUACGGUUGGAGAAGAGCAAGAUAAAUCAUGCCUGAGCAAAGGAGCAAGAUGGAAGGGAUUUGAAUACUUCUGCAGAGAUCUGUGUUCAGAAAG